CUUACUAUCUUGAAUCAAAGUUCAUUAAAAGAUCUUUCCAAUAACGUAAAUAAACGUAUUCUUUCCCCAUAUUACUCAUCUUCGUAUCUAUUCAAUUAAACACGACCAAGAAAAGCGACCUUUGUAACAUGAAACAGAUUGUUUAUCGAAACCUAUCCCCCUCAUAUUUACUCAACUCUCGAGGAAUGAUUAUAAACGAACUGAUGAUUUUUUUAUCGUGUCUGCGUCGUGAUUCCAUCAAAGAUGAAAUUCAUUAUAGAAUGCCUGAUUAUUUGUGUAAUAUUUUUCAGCUACGGAGCAUCUCAAAAUUUCUCGUUCCCCGACAAUAUAAUGCAAGGAGUGAAACCAGUAAUCGAUGUUCUGUUGACGCCUAGAAAACACGUCGAACGACAGAAAAAUCUUCUAAAGAAGGAACAAGCGGAAGCAAUUUUAAAAAAGCUUACAGAAGAACGAAACAGAAGAGCUCAAUUAACUCAUUCUACGAUGAUAGAUCCAGAUGCAUUAAAUUCCAACUUAAGGUGGUCGCAAGCAGCUAUCAAAUUAUCGAGUCGAAGAGUUUAUCCAAAAAGUACCACAGAAGCUUUUCAACUAACUGAUGCGGAAAAGAGCGAAGAAAAAAAUGAUGAGAAUGAUCAAAAUGUGGUAUCGGAUUCGGAUGAUUAUGAUAGUCAAUGAACAGCUGGAACCGAGCAGCCUGGAGUUAUGGGCAAGUACUUAUUAGCAUGCUAAAUCAAAGUCGAAAAAUGCACUCGACGUUAAAUACAACGAACUUAAAAUCUUAUUCGAGUUCCCUGCUAUAAUUUUAAAAUAUCAGUACUCUGUAAGCUUUUUACGUUCUUUUCUCUCAAUCGCCUAGUAUUUCAUUAUUAUUUAAUCCUUUGUAAAUCAUAAGUUGGUAAUAAUAAAGCUUUUUUUACGUA
Molecule: long non-coding RNA, 920 nt
Organism: Planococcus citri (citrus mealybug)
Lineage: Eukaryota; Metazoa; Arthropoda; Insecta; Hemiptera; Pseudococcidae
Exons: 2
Source: RefSeq, a predicted model, not a curated record